GUAGGGAAUAUUGGGCAAUGGAUGCAAGUCUGACCCAGCCAUCCCGCGUGCCGGAAGAAGGCCCUCAGGGUUGUAAACGGCUUUUGACGGUGAAGAAUCGACAGGAUGCGCCCUGUUUUGACGGUAGCCGUUGAAUAAGCACCGGCUAACUCCGUGCCAGCAGCCGCGGUAAUACGUAGGGGGCGAGCGUUGCUCGGAUUGACUGGGCGUAAAGCGCGCGUAGGCGGUCCAUUAAGUGUGCGGUGAAAUUCGGAGGCUCAACCUCCGUCCCGCCGCGCAAACUGAUGGUCUUGAGAUUGGGAGGGGGAUGCGGAAUUCCUGGUGUAGCGGUGAAAUGCAUUGAUAUCAGGAGGAACACCGGCGGCGAAAGCGGCAUCCUGGCUUAUAUCUGACGCUGAGGCGCGAAAGCGUGGGUAGCAAACGGGAUUAGAUACCCUAGUAGUCC
RNAcentral lists this ribosomal RNA (445 nucleotides) under uncultured bacterium. RNAcentral's name for it is "partial 16S ribosomal RNA". It matches the Rfam family "Bacterial small subunit ribosomal RNA", at positions 354 to 796 of the family's 1533-position model. The record is from RNAcentral.